This 468-nucleotide ribosomal RNA is filed under the name Lacticaseibacillus paracasei. RNAcentral's name for it is "bacterial SSU rRNA". It matches the Rfam family "Bacterial small subunit ribosomal RNA", at positions 28 to 468 of the family's 1533-position model. The record is from RNAcentral. Lineage: Bacteria; Bacillati; Bacillota; Bacilli; Lactobacillales; Lactobacillaceae.
GAUGAACGCUGGCGGCGUGCCUAAUACAUGCAAGUCGAACGAGUUCUCGUUGAUGAUCGGUGCUUGCACCGAGAUUCAACAUGGAACGAGUGGCGGACGGGUGAGUAACACGUGGGUAACCUGCCCUUAAGUGGGGGAUAACAUUUGGAAACAGAUGCUAAUACCGCAUAGAUCCAAGAACCGCAUGGUUCUUGGCUGAAAGAUGGCGUAAGCUAUCGCUUUUGGAUGGACCCGCGGCGUAUUAGCUAGUUGGUGAGGUAAUGGCUCACCAAGGCGAUGAUACGUAGCCGAACUGAGAGGUUGAUCGGCCACAUUGGGACUGAGACACGGCCCAAACUCCUACGGGAGGCAGCAGUAGGGAAUCUUCCACAAUGGACGCAAGUCUGAUGGAGCAACGUCGCGUGAGUGAAGAAGGCUUUCGGGUCGUAAAACUCUGUUGUUGGAGAAGAAGGUCGGCAGAGUAACUGU